AGUGAACGCUGGCGGUAGGCCUAACACAUGCGAGUCGAACGGCAGCACAGUAAGAGCUUGCUCCUACGGGUGGCGAGUGGCGGACGGGUGAGGAAUACAUCGGAAUCUACUUUUUCGUGGGGGAUAACGUAGGGAAACUUACGCUAAUACCGCAUACGACCUACGGGUGAAAGCAGGGGAUCUUCGGACCUUGCGCGAUUGAAUGAGUCGAUGUCGGAUUAGCUAGUUGGCGGGGUAAAGGCCCACCAAGGCGACGAUCCGUAGCUGGUCUGAGAGGAUGAUCAGCCACACUGGAACUGAGACACGGUCCAGACUCCUACGGGAGGCAGCAGUGGGGAAUAUUGGACAAUGGGCGCAAGCCUGAUCCAGCCAUACCGCGUGGGUGAAGAAGGCCUUCGGGUUGUAAAGCCCUUUUGUUGGGAAAGAAAAGCAGCAGGUUAAUACCCCGCUGUUCUGACGGUACCCAAAGAAUAAGCACCGGCUAACUUCGUG
RNAcentral lists this ribosomal RNA (492 nucleotides) under uncultured bacterium. Its description in RNAcentral is "partial 16S ribosomal RNA". It matches the Rfam family "Bacterial small subunit ribosomal RNA", at positions 29 to 507 of the family's 1533-position model. The record is from RNAcentral.